CCUACGGGCGGCAGCAGUGAGGAAUAUUGGUCAAUGGACGGAAGUCUGAACCAGCCAUGCCGCGUGCAGGAAGACGGCUCUAUGAGUUGUAAACUGCUUUUGUACAAGGGUAAACCUGAAUACGUGUAUUCAGCUGAAAGUACUGUACGAAUAAGGAUCGGCUAACUCCGUGCCAGCAGCCGCGGUAAUACGGAGGAUCCAAGCGUUAUCCGGAUUUAUUGGGUUUAACGGGUGCGUAGGCGGAUUGAUAAGUUAGAGGUGAAAUGUCCGAGCUUAACUCGGGAACUGCCUCUAAUACUGGGGAUCUAGAGAGUAGAUGCGGGAGGCGGAAUGUAUGGUGUAGCGGUGAAAUGCUUAGAGAUCAUACAGAACACCGAUUGCGAAGGCAGCUUACCAAUCUAUAUCUGACGUUGAGGCACGAAAGCGUGGGGAGCAAACAGGAUUAGAUACCCCUGUAGUC
This 460-nucleotide ribosomal RNA is filed under the name uncultured bacterium. Its description in RNAcentral is "partial 16S ribosomal RNA". It matches the Rfam family "Bacterial small subunit ribosomal RNA", at positions 338 to 795 of the family's 1533-position model. The record is from RNAcentral.